This 608-nucleotide ribosomal RNA is filed under the name Escherichia coli. RNAcentral's name for it is "partial 23S ribosomal RNA". It matches the Rfam family "Bacterial large subunit ribosomal RNA", at positions 2341 to 2925 of the family's 2925-position model. Lineage: Bacteria; Pseudomonadati; Pseudomonadota; Gammaproteobacteria; Enterobacterales; Enterobacteriaceae. The record is from RNAcentral.
GGAGGUUAGUGCAAUGGCAUAAGCCAGCUUGACUGCGAGCGUGACGGCGCGAGCAGGUGCGAAAGCAGGUCAUAGUGAUCCGGUGGUUCUGAAUGGAAGGGCCAUCGCUCAACGGAUAAAAGGUACUCCGGGGAUAACAGGCUGAUACCGCCCAAGAGUUCAUAUCGACGGCGGUGUUUGGCACCUCGAUGUCGGCUCAUCACAUCCUGGGGCUGAAGUAGGUCCCAAGGGUAUGGCUGUUCGCCAUUUAAAGUGGUACGCGAGCUGGGUUUAGAACGUCGUGAGACAGUUCGGUCCCUAUCUGCCGUGGGCGCUGGAGAACUGAGGGGGGCUGCUCCUAGUACGAGAGGACCGGAGUGGACGCAUCACUGGUGUUCGGGUUGUCAUGCCAAUGGCACUGCCCGGUAGCUAAAUGCGGAAGAGAUAAGUGCUGAAAGCAUCUAAGCACGAAACUUGCCCCGAGAUGAGUUCUCCCUGACCCUUUAAGGGUCCUGAAGGAACGUUGAAGACGACGACGUUGAUAGGCCGGGUGUGUAAGCGCAGCGAUGCGUUGAGCUAACCGGUACUAAUGAACCGUGAGGCUUAACCUUACAACGCCGAAGGUGUUU